This 440-nucleotide ribosomal RNA is filed under the name uncultured bacterium. RNAcentral's name for it is "partial 16S ribosomal RNA". It matches the Rfam family "Bacterial small subunit ribosomal RNA", at positions 338 to 795 of the family's 1533-position model. The record is from RNAcentral.
CCUACGGGAGGCAGCAGUGGGGAAUAUUGGACAAUGGGGGAAACCCUUAUCCAGCGACGCCGCGUGAGGGAAGAAGGUUUUCGGAUUGUAAACCUCUGUCAGUGGGGACGAUAAUGACGGUACCCACGGAGGAAGCCACGGCUAACUACGUGCCAGCAGCCGCGGUAAUACGUAGGUGGCAAGCGUUGUCCGGAAUUACUGGGUGUAAAGGGAGCGUAGGCGGGAUGUCAAGUCAGAAGUGAAAAUUAUGGGCUCAACUCAUAACCUGCUUUUGAAACUGAUAUUCUUGAGUGAAGUAGAGGCAAGCGGAAUUCCUAGUGUAGCGGUGAAAUGCGUAGAUAUUAGGAGGAACACCAGUGGCGAAGGCGGCUUGCUGGGCUUUUACUGACGCUGAGGCUCGAAAGCGUGGGGAGCAAACAGGAUUAGAUACCCUUGUAGUC